This 73-nucleotide transfer RNA is filed under the name Pascua guehoae. RNAcentral describes it as "tRNA-Asp". It matches the Rfam family "tRNA". From Rfam's summary of the family: Transfer RNA (tRNA) molecules are approximately 80 nucleotides in length. Their secondary structure includes four short double-helical elements and three loops (D, anti-codon, and T loops). Lineage: Eukaryota; Fungi; Basidiomycota; Tremellomycetes; Trichosporonales; Trichosporonaceae. The record is from RNAcentral.
GGAAUGAUAGCCUAAUGGUUAAGGCACCGUUUUGUCAAGACGGCUUAUGGGGGUUCGAGUCCCCUUCAUUUCG